UUGAUGCGCUUUCGCCUGCAGUGUGAACGUAGCCUAAGUACUGCGCUUUAGAAGGACAGGAAGAUGUAAUAGUGAGACUGGAGUAAGGGGACAGAAGUAAUAAGAAAGAUGAAUAACUACAAGCAGAGAGAUCAUUUUAUUUGUGAAAAGAGGAAGCAACAAGGUGGAGAUGAGUUAAAAGAGGAAGAGCAUUGGACAGAGGAUGGAGAGCAGGACAGAGAGAGACGAUAAAACAGAGAUGUGGAGCAGAGGGGAGGAGUUAAAGAGGAAAUAAAGGUGAACUGGAAACAGAGGACGGUGACAGAGCACAAAGAGGCAAAGAAAGAAAACAAGAAAACAAAAAAGGAAACAAGAGAAAAGAGCCAGCAGUGAUGAAUGCAGCUCGAAUUCAUGACAAACAGAAGCUGAAGUCAUUCUGGGAGCAGAGGAUUGUUCAGCACAGCGAGCAGACGAAUGAUGAGGAGAACCGUAUGAGGAACAGCGCUUUGGCACGACUGAGGGAGCAGUGGGUCAUCAGGUUGGAGCAGAGGAAUCAACACCUGCAGAGUUUCUUCGAGGAGAGAAUGAGGCGAGUGCAGAAAUCCCAGCAAAUCCUCGGAAAGACUGAUUCACCCUGAAACCAGAAGAUAAGCCAGAAGGUGGUUAAAGAAAGAACUCCUCCACCAUCAGGCUGAAGACCAACAGCUGCUGUCCAGAUAUUGUUUAUGGUGCUAAAGGUUAGACCUUUACACAUGUAUUGUCAUUUAUUUUUAUGAAACAGAGGAACUAAAACAAACAAAAAACAAAACGAUAUUCAGUAUAAA
Molecule: long non-coding RNA, 803 nt
Organism: Oreochromis aureus
Lineage: Eukaryota; Metazoa; Chordata; Actinopteri; Cichliformes; Cichlidae
Exons: 4
Source: RefSeq, a predicted model, not a curated record